This 2439-nucleotide long non-coding RNA is filed under the name Nicotiana benthamiana. Its description in RNAcentral is "long non-coding RNA (NBEN_LNC005398)". Lineage: Eukaryota; Viridiplantae; Streptophyta; Magnoliopsida; Solanales; Solanaceae. The record is from RNAcentral.
UUAUCUUUCCUUUGUUCAUGUUUCUGGGAGGACUCGAAGGAGGAGGAGGAGGAGGAGGAGGAGGAGGACCCUUAGAUAUUGUUGAGUAUGCUGAUGGUGCCAGAAUGCGCGAACUAACCUUUGGGGAGGGGAAUAAAAAAUUUAAAAAAACAAAAACGUAAAAAGUUAGUGCGGAUUCAGAGAAAGGAAAACAUUGCUGUAUUUAAACACGUUGUUGCAAGAAUAUGAGUCGUUCCCUAUAUGGGUGACUCGUUGUGCCCGAGAUAGGCCUAGCAAUAGAUACGAUUGGAGAACUUAUGACACCAAGUGCCUCAUUUUCGAUAGAAAAUAGAACGAGUCAAAACAAACUGAAAUAAAGAGAAAUUGUCACUAAUGGUCAAUGGCCUUAUUAUAUCAAGAAAGCAGUAAAAAUCCUAACUACUUGGUCCCGGAAGGACCUUCCCCAGAUUCAGUAUCUUUGCCUCCCUCGUGCAGUUUCAUCAACUCGCGCAGACCCAGAAACAAGUAAGCCCGAGCCAAGUGACCUUCGUUACCUUCAGCUUCCUGUCAGCCGUUGAUCCAGAAACUUGCCUUCUAGCUCCACUAAACCCCGUUCCAAGUACCCUAAAUUGUUGUUUUCGCGGACAGCCAUGUCCUUCCACUCAUUGAUUAGCUUCUCUUGGGCCUCUAGUAUUUCCUGAUGCUCACUUUCGCACUCUCGCACUCUCGCAUCUGUUUGCGUAGCUGAUUGUACUUGACCUUUGCGGUAGUCUCCUCAUCAAUAACCCUGUGACCAUGGGUGAAACCUAUUUUUCCCAAGCAUAGUUGAUUGUACUUGAUCAUUGCUGCAGUCUUCUCAUCAAUAACCCUGUGACCAUGGAUGAAACCUGUUUUCCCAAGCAAAUAUGAUAGCCUUCUAACCAUUUAUCACACCUCCUUUUUACGCUAUACACCCCCACGAAGGAGCGUAAAGGAGUUUUUCCACUUAAAGGACAAUCGGAACGGGAUUUGGUUAUUGAAGAUUCAGAGUCGCCACUUGGGAGAUUAAUGGUGACCCAAGUCACCGAUUGAAUCCCGAACCGAGGAAAAAAAUGACUUUGUUCACAGUCCGCAAACCAGAAAUCCGGAUAAUGAAUUCUGUUAACCCGGGAAAAGGAGUUAGGCAUUCCCGGGUUCCGUGGUUCUAGCACGUUCGCUCAACCGUUGUAUUUAGCUUUCUGAUUUCAUUACAUGAAGAGUCUAUGUGCCAAUUUUAUGCUUAACCGCUUUUAUUAAAUAUGAUAUUUAUAUAAGAAAGUGAACAUCGUUUAAAAUGUAUUUUCGGAUUGCGCCGCAUCAAAUGAACCUGCAAUCCUAGGCACACUCUAUUCAACGUUUUAGGUUUUGGAUUUAGGCCGCAUAAAAUGCCCACCCGUAUUUAGGAAUGUAAUUUAUUAAAGUCGCGUAUAAUAGAGUCUAAUGCAUUGUAGUCUUUUGGGAGGGACGUGAACUUCGCUAAACGGCCCUUCCCGAUUCUCUAAAUAUUUUUUAAACAUUUAUUGAGGUGGAGGGCUGUGAAAUUCGCUAAACAGUCCUUUCCGGUUUUCUAAAUAUUUUUUACACCUUUAUUGAGGGCCCCACAAUUUGUAAGUUUAUUUGACUCGGCACACCUCGAUUCUAUUUAAAAUGAUAUUUAAACUAGAAACUCGGAAGGCCAUAGAUUAUCUAUUAUCAAAUAAAAAUUUUCUAAUGACCCAACCAUUUGAAAGAGUAGAAAUAAGAAGGCUUAUUCGGAUAAGUGCCGGAUUUACACAUUGUCCAUAUUACUCGGUAAUUGUAGAGCUUAACCAUAUGACUUCUUAAACAAUUCACAAUUGAGCAUGCAAUCAAUGAUAUCAAACAUCACACAAUUUUCAUGAAAUUUUACCAAACAAAAUAUUCAUCUCAGCACGAUUAAUACUUAGCUUAAGCGAAUCAAAAUAAGGACUCUAUAUUCAUAUAGCUCAAAGUAAUCAAAACAGCAAAUAACUUCAGAAAAUAGAAGCAAUAAGAUGACAUUCAAUAUUAAUGAAGUAUCAAUGGGGAAGAUAGGACCUUCAUUGCUGAAAACUCCAAUUCGAUGUACGUCCAAUCUAGCAAUAAAAAGAAAAUAGGACACGGACAGAAAGUUCUUGUCGGAAACCCUCGACGAACGCGUAUCAGAAACCUCGCCAAUGACCAGAAAGUUCUAGUCGGAAACCCUCGACGAACGCGUAUCAGAAACCUCGCCAAUGACGGAGCCUCGAAACCUCACCGUAAACUCGAACAGAGACCACACCUUUGACCGCAAAAUACCUUCAACUAGGCUCACAGUUCCGAUAGCGUAUUAUUAUGAGAAACUUUACAAUUUACUGUUGCAAACAAACUUUUUGAUUUUGGGAAAUUAUUUUCUCCAAUCCAAUGAGAAAGAGAACUGUAUAUGUCGGUCUUUGAGUUCUGCCG